GACGAACGCUGGCGGCGUGCCUAACACAUGCCAGUCGAACGGAAAGGCCCUGCUUUUGUGGGGUGCUCGAGUGGCGAACGGGUGAGUAACACGUGAGUAACCUGCCCUUGACUUUGGGAUAACUUCAGGAAACUGGGGCUAAUAUCGGAUAGGAGCUCCUGCUGCAUGGUGGGGGUUGGAAAGUUUCGGCGGUUGGGGAUGGACUCGCGGCUUAUCAGCUUGUUGGUGGGGUAGUGGCUUACCAAGGCUUUGACGGGUAGCCGGCCUGAGAGGGUGGCCGGCCACAAUGGGACUGAGAUACGGCCCAGACUCCUACGGGAGGCAGCGGUGGGGAGUAUUGCACAGUGGGCGGGAGCCUGAUGCAGCAACGCCGCGUGCGGGAUGCCGGCCUUCGGGUUGUGAACCGCUUUCGCCUGUGACGAAGCGUGAGUGACGGUAAUGGGUAAAGAAGCACCGGCUAACUACGUG
Molecule: ribosomal RNA, 468 nt
Filed under: uncultured bacterium
Lineage: Bacteria
Description: partial 16S ribosomal RNA
Rfam family: Bacterial small subunit ribosomal RNA
Source: RNAcentral